Molecule: long non-coding RNA, 406 nt
Organism: Nematostella vectensis (starlet sea anemone)
Lineage: Eukaryota; Metazoa; Cnidaria; Anthozoa; Actiniaria; Edwardsiidae
Exons: 2
Source: RefSeq, a predicted model, not a curated record
UGACACCGUGAAUUGAUAAAGUUUUUGCAUUAUUUUCGUCGUGGCUAAAGCCAAGAAAGAAAUUCGACACAUCUUAACACUUUUAUAAUAAAAAGACGUACAAAUGAUGGAUGGAAGGACAAAGGAUGGGUUUGGAAAAAGAAGACCUAUCCAAGUGCAAAAAGUUGGGAUCUAAAGUUUCAAUUCUGCAUCUCCUCAAACCACUACUCCUACUACUACCAGUUCUCCACUACCAGUACAAAUUUAAAUAUUUGUUUAUUGUAAAUGCCUGGAUAAGGCAUGAUCAAGUGUGCUUUACAUGCACAGACUGAUCUAUGCAGUUUACAAUCAUGAAGGGAGUAUGUAAGCACUGUACCUGAAGAUUUUCCCAAAAUAAACAGUGUAAAUAAAAGCAUGAAAACAUUAA